GACGAACGCUGGCGGCGUGCUUAACACAUGCAAGUCGAACGGAAAGGCCCUGCUUUUGUGGGGUGCUCGAGUGGCGAACGGGUGAGUAACACGUGAGUAACCUGCCCUUGACUUUGGGAUAACUUCAGGAAACUGGGGCUAAUACCGGAUAGGAGCUCCUGCUGCAUGGUGGGGGUUGGAAAGUUUCGGCGGUUGGGGAUGGGCUCGCGGCUUAUCAGCUUGUUGGUGGGGUAGUGGCUUACCAAGGCUUUGACGGGUAGCCGGCCUGAGAGGGUGACCGGCCACAUUGGGACUGAGAUACGGCCCAGACUCCUACGGGAGGCAGCAGUGGGGAAUAUUGCACAAUGGGCGGAAGCCUGAUGCAGCAACGCCGCGUGCGGGAUGACGGCCUUCGGGUUGUAAACCGCUUUCGCCUGUGACGAAGCGUGAGUGACGGUAAUGGGUACAGAAGCACCGGCUAACUACGUG
This 468-nucleotide ribosomal RNA is filed under the name uncultured bacterium. RNAcentral describes it as "partial 16S ribosomal RNA". It matches the Rfam family "Bacterial small subunit ribosomal RNA", at positions 28 to 507 of the family's 1533-position model. The record is from RNAcentral.